This 471-nucleotide RNase P RNA is filed under the name Clostridia bacterium. RNAcentral describes it as "RNase P RNA component class A". It matches the Rfam family "Bacterial RNase P class A". From Rfam's summary of the family: Ribonuclease P (RNase P) is a ubiquitous endoribonuclease, found in archaea, bacteria and eukarya as well as chloroplasts and mitochondria. Its best characterised activity is the generation of mature 5'-ends of tRNAs by cleaving the 5'-leader elements of precursor-tRNAs. The record is from RNAcentral. Lineage: Bacteria; Bacillati; Bacillota; Clostridia.
UCGCUGUGUCAGACGGCCGCGCGGUAUGGCGCCGAAAGGUAUUACCGUGAGGAAAGUCCGGGCAUCACAGGGCAGGAUAACGGAUAACGUCCGCCGAGGGUGACCUCCGGGAAAGUGCAACAGAAAUAUACCGCCUCAGGUUCCGAAUUAUCGCUUAGCGUUAUUCGAAGCGAACCGAGGGGUCCUCAAAUUACGCGUAAGCGUGAUUUGGGGUUCCUGGGGGGGUCCUCGGUUUGCUUUGCAAACCGGGGUUCUCCCGGGGCAAGGGUGGAAAGGCGAGGUAAGAGCUCACCGGCACAGGUGGCAACAUCGUGCAAAUGUAAACCCUAUCCGAUGCAACACCGGGUGAAAGAAGGGCUGCCCGUCCGCUCCGCAAGGAGAUUUCCGAGGUGGCAAAGAGCCGUGCGGCAACGCACGCGCCAAGACAGAUGGUCGUCAAAGACAGAACCCGGCUUACGACACGGCCGACGG